CUUGACCCCGUUUCCUGCCUCGAUUUGGUUCUCUGGUUGUCAUGAAAUAGCUCCAUCAGGUCAUUGAGGAGGGUGCUUGGAUUGAAAAUUCACUGGCAUGUGAAAUGUGAAGGUUUUAGAUUUGAAUUGGAGACUUUGAUUCAAGGUUGGAAUUUCAGAUGUGAUUGAGGUGCGGAUUGUGGAUGAUUUAC
Molecule: long non-coding RNA, 191 nt
Organism: Zingiber officinale
Lineage: Eukaryota; Viridiplantae; Streptophyta; Magnoliopsida; Zingiberales; Zingiberaceae
Exons: 3
Source: RefSeq, a predicted model, not a curated record